This 1662-nucleotide long non-coding RNA is filed under the name Setaria italica (foxtail millet). RNAcentral's name for it is "long non-coding RNA (SITA_LNC001080)". Lineage: Eukaryota; Viridiplantae; Streptophyta; Magnoliopsida; Poales; Poaceae. The record is from RNAcentral.
CCCCUUUUCCCCCUCCUCACGACCCCUCCCCUAGUACACUUCCUGCUCUGUCCAUGGCUCCCUUCACCCUCUAGAUCUCCUCCACUGCAGCAAGGAUUGAGAAGAGAAGGGGCAAGAUGGAUUGAAGAGGAAGAGAGGAUUGAGGAGAUAUGCUAGAUCGGUGUUUUCCCCAACCUUCCCUUGCGGAUUUUCAUGGGAAAGCCUUAGGUAAGAGUCGAAUCCAUCUCCUUCCCCUGUAAUUAAGUAUUUUUGGAGGUUUUGGCUAUGUGGGAUUAAAGGAUUAGGGGUUGGAUUGGAGUUUAACUUCGUUUUCUAGUUGCGGUUUCCUGGCAGAUUCGACAAUUUGUCUAGGGUAUGAGUUUUGGAUAUGUUAGGUGCGGAAUUGAUUUUUGAGAUACAUUAGGAAGUUAUGGAGGAUUUUGUAAUAUUUCCAUAUUAUAUUUAAUUGCAAUUUUUGGUGGAGUAGAAUCCGAGAUAUGGACGGAUUAUUGUGACUGUUCAUGUUUGCCUGGCAGAUAAAGUCAGGUCUGUUCAUUGGUGCUUUUCACAUGGUAAAUGGCCGAAUGAACUCUUCUAACUAUGGAGACGUUUGUAGAGGGAUAAUAGUACUUCCUGUCAGAAAAUUUUAUAAUUUUUGGUUGCAUAGUUUAGGAGAUAUGAAUUUUUAUAUGUUGCUGCCUGGCUGUUAUGCAGAUUCAAAAGUGCUGUUUUGAGUUGUGUUUUAGGUGACCUUAUAAGCCUGAUAAAAUUGUAGUUUUGCUACCAAAGUUUUAGUUUAUUCUCUGAAGUUUCCAAAUACAUAUUUAUUUGAUACCUAAUCUAUUGUAUAAAAAUAGAUACAUAAAAGAUAAGUAUUGUUGCUCUUCAUCAAUGAUGGUGAUAAGGAAUGUAGUUUGUCUAGUCUUAUUGAUAUUAGGGUCUUGGACAUAUGAGCACUCUAUAUUUCUAUAUGAGAAUGCCAUUUGGGUUUGUUGUGCUGAUAUACAUAGGUGGUUUAGCAGGUGGUGUUGCUACGAGGCUUGUACGUCUACAUGGUUGGUAAAGGCAAGUGAACGUAGCUGUUGCAUUGCUACAACUUUAACAUAUUAUUUUUACUACCUCCACUUAUAAAAUGAAGUGCACAUAUUUAUAUGUGAUAAUCUGAGAUGUACAUUUAUGUGGUAAUCUGAAAUAUUAUAUGUGAUGUUUAUAAGUUUGAGAAGAGUAUGAAUAUGUCUUUUUAAUAUAGCUAUAUAGUUGGUACUUUAACAUGGGUGAAUAGAUGAAUGGAUUGUUCCAUGGAUGAAUAAUUUUGAAAAUAUGGAGCUGAAAGUAUAUUUUACAUAUAACAUAUAUACUUGGUGAUUUAUUCUAUGAUAUAUUUUUUUCCUACUGUACUGAAGUCUAUGGAAUCCUUAGUGGUUUCGUAGCUGACGGGUCUGUUUUAGAGGAAUGUGAUCUUGGUGAGGUAUUUAUGCUACUUUAUAUCUCCUAGUGCUAACAUGUGAGGAUCAAAUGAAGUUUGGGUUAUGAGUAAGGUCAGAAUAGUUUCCAGAAGUCUUUGGGUAUAUAUAUUCAACUUAAGAAUUAAGUUUCGGGUUGACUAGCUCUAUUUUAGAAGUUCAUUUUUAAUAUGAUAUACAUGGUUUGGGCUUAGAUUACGAAUUUUGUGCUUUACUCCAU